RNAcentral lists this unclassified non-coding RNA (299 nucleotides) under Halostachys caspica. RNAcentral's name for it is "partial external transcribed spacer". Lineage: Eukaryota; Viridiplantae; Streptophyta; Magnoliopsida; Caryophyllales; Amaranthaceae. The record is from RNAcentral.
UGUCCCUAGAAAGUGUUAAUUUUGCUUUGCCUCUCUUAAAAAGGAGGCCGAGCAAACACUAUAACUGAGUUCGUUAUCCCCUCAUCAAGCGAAAACAAGUGCGAUGAGACGGGAUCACGAUCUCAAGUUGGGCCCUUGGAUGCAGAAUGCUGUGUGGGGGGCGACAUGAAUCUGUCGCACACCCAAACUAGCGUUGUACGCUAACAAUGGAUGACAUUCGAGUGCGACUUGACCCUUUCUUAAUUGAGAGGCUUCAUGCGUGCCGAUGUCGACCGAGGAGUGCUACCUGGUUGAUCCUG